CCUUGUCCUCUGGAAUCUUCUCUACCCAGGCUUGUGCAUCGAGGAAGUACUGCAUCCUGGGUGCAAGUGGGAAGGUAAAGGAGAUCGUCUGAGACAUUUCUGCGUGGCUGUGUUAAGACAACACACACUCCUCUGGCAAGCAGCAAUGAAAAACAAGAACUCUUCAGAAUUUAUACAUCAGAGUCUGGCAUCCUUAUUCCUGAAGGCUAAAGCAGAUUUCUACAGACCUAUAUGCGCUGUGGGGUUGUUAGAGAAGGUGAAUUCUUCCCUUCUCCUCUGGACUGCCCAUGAAGUUGGUUCGGGCACAGUGAAGCAGGUUAGACCACAUAAACCUAUUAUAUCCAAUACAAGUGGGAAGGAGUAAUUAGAAAGAGGAAAGGUACUGGGUUAGCCUUGGGGCUGUUUUGUUUUAUGAUCUGGGCAUGUACAACAGACCAUGUGAAUCACAGAAGAAAAAACUAGGAGGGAAUGGAGACUCGACGUUCCGGAAUGAGCAGCGCAAAGGGGCACGUCUCUUUCCAACUAUGGAGAAGUUAUUGACAAAC
Molecule: long non-coding RNA, 545 nt
Organism: Tyto alba (common barn owl)
Lineage: Eukaryota; Metazoa; Chordata; Aves; Strigiformes; Tytonidae
Exons: 3
Source: RefSeq, a predicted model, not a curated record